RNAcentral lists this ribosomal RNA (497 nucleotides) under uncultured bacterium. RNAcentral describes it as "partial 16S ribosomal RNA". It matches the Rfam family "Bacterial small subunit ribosomal RNA", at positions 28 to 507 of the family's 1533-position model. The record is from RNAcentral.
GAUGAACGCUGGCGGCGUGCCUAAUACAUGCAAGUCGAGCGAACAGACGAGAAGCUUGCUUCUCUGAUGUUAGCGGCGGACGGGUGAGUAACACGUGGAUAACCUACCUAUAAGACUGGGAUAACUUCGGGAAACCGUAGCUAAUACCGGAUAAUAUUUUGAACCGCAUGGUUCAAAAGUGAAAGACGGUCUUGCUGUCACUUCUAGAUGGAUCCGCGCUGCAUUAGCUAGUUGGUAAGGUAACGGCUUACCAAGGCAACGAUGCAUAGCCGACCUGAGAGGGUGAUCGGCCACACUGGAACUGAGACACGGUCCAGACUCCUACGGGAGGCAGCAGUAGGGAAUCUUCCGCAAUGGGCGAAAGCCUGACGGAGCAACGCCGCGUGAGUGAUGAAGGUCUUCGGAUCGUAAAACUCUGUUAUUAGGGAAGAACAUAUGUGUAAGUAACUGUGCACAUCUUGACGGUACCUAAUCAGAAAGCCACGGCUAACUACGUG